UCACCCCUCAAGCCCGGCUUGUUGUUGGAUCGAGCCCCGUUAAACGGGCUGGUCCCAAAGAUAAUGACGGCGUCUGAGGACCCCAGUACACUGAGCUUUCGGGCACGUACUUGGUAAGACUUCUAGACACCGUUUAACCAAAGAAGUUGGGGGUUUACCCUCGCUUCUUACUUCCAA
RNAcentral lists this unclassified non-coding RNA (177 nucleotides) under uncultured fungus. RNAcentral's name for it is "sequence contains ITS2". The record is from RNAcentral. Lineage: Eukaryota; Fungi.